CUACCAGCCUUUCAACAGAUCACCCAGGCCAGGGAUCUGGGGCAGGGUCUGAGGCAGAACCCGCCCUUCUACCCGGCGCCAUACACCCCUUCCGAAGACCAUCCCCAACAGCUCCUCCAACGCCUCUCCAAGGACGCGGACCCGCCCCUCGCGGCCUCCAGGCCCCUCCGCAGCCCAUCGCCUUUACCCGUCCCGAGCGGCCGGGGAGGGCUUGCGGUGCCACAACUUGCCGCUCUCCUUGUUGCCCAGCCAAUAUGGAGGCGCGUUUCCUCCCAACUCCGCCCAAGCGACCCCUGCCGCUCUGGACGAUGGAACCGGCCAACGACCUUCUCUUAGAUCCCACCCCUUUUAGAGGUUCACCCCACCAGCCCCGGGGCCCAAAGCCUUCUGGGAAUUGUAGUUUUCUGCGUGUGGAUCCGGGGUAUCAGCGAUCGGCUUGAGAACUCUGCAUUCCGAGGGCGCCGUGGGGUUUUAGGCUCCCGGUGGAAGCAAUAAAAAUGGUUUUCUCCUGUG
This is a long non-coding RNA of Herpailurus yagouaroundi (jaguarundi), 513 nucleotides long. RefSeq lists it as uncharacterized. Lineage: Eukaryota; Metazoa; Chordata; Mammalia; Carnivora; Felidae. The record is from RefSeq and is a predicted model, not a curated record. The transcript is spliced from 2 exons.